UAAAGGUUUGGUCCUGGCCUUCCUAUUAGUUAUUAACAGAAUUACACAUGCAAGCCUCCACAUCCCGGUGAAGAUGCCCUCUAAAUCCAAAACGAUUAAAAGGAGCGGGCAUCAGGCACACUAAAUAGGUAGCCCACAACGCCUUGCUCAACCACACCCCCACGGGAUACAGCAGUGAUAAAAAUUAAGCCAUGAACGAAAGUUUGACUAAGCCAUGUUAAUAUUAAGAGUUGGUAAAUUUCGUGCCAGCCACCGCGGUCAUACGAUUAACCCGAAUUAAUAGGCUCACGGCGUAAAACGUGCUAAGGAUCACAAGACACUAAAGUUAAAAUUUAACCAGGCCGUAAAAAGCUACUGUUAAUAUAAAAUAUACCACGAAAGUGACUUUAUCAUCUCCAACAACACGAUAGCUGGGACCCAAACUGGGAUUAGAUACCCCACUAUGCCCAGCCCUAAACACAAAUAAUUUACACAACAAAAUUGUCUGCCAGAGAACUACUAGCAACAGCUUAAAACUCAAAGGACUUGGCGGUGCUUUACAUCCCUCUAGAGGAGCCUGUUCUGUAAUCGAUAAACCCCGAUAAACCUCACCACUCCUAGCUAAACCAGUCUAUAUACCGCAAUCAUCAGCAAACCCUUAAAAGGAAGAAAAGUAAGCACAAUAAAAAUACAUAAAAA
This 678-nucleotide ribosomal RNA is filed under the name Martes americana (American marten). RNAcentral's name for it is "partial 12S ribosomal RNA". It matches the Rfam family "Bacterial small subunit ribosomal RNA", at positions 6 to 1026 of the family's 1533-position model. The record is from RNAcentral. Lineage: Eukaryota; Metazoa; Chordata; Mammalia; Carnivora; Mustelidae.